This 565-nucleotide long non-coding RNA is filed under the name Pan troglodytes (chimpanzee). RNAcentral's name for it is "lincRNA". The record is from RNAcentral. Lineage: Eukaryota; Metazoa; Chordata; Mammalia; Primates; Hominidae.
AGAAGCAGAUCAGAAAUCGAACACGUUUGCUUUUGCGAUUCGAGAGCCCUUUCUGGCGCGGAGCUAGGGGCGGUGUUACGGAGCUGCCCUGAACUGAGAGCAGCGUUGGCGGGGGGCUAGGGAGCCGGGCUGUUCCACGCUCACUGCGCGCCUCGGGCGGCGGGGCUCGGGCUCUGUCCGAGGUGCUGAACUCCGGGGCUCCGGCCGCGCCGGCAGAGUGUGCCAGCGUCCAUUAUUGCCAGUGUCUGUGGGCAUCUUCCAGAAGGCCGAGCAUGGGGGUCAGGUGAAACCAGGGCGCUCCCAAGCACCUUGCCCAGUAGAGCCCCCUUGCACCCCGCUUGGUUGGUCAGCACCCCAUGGACAUGCAGCCUUGACCUUGGCAUGGGGAGCUUCCACUGUGUCAAGCCCAACAUCCAGGCCUCAGAAGACAGUCAUUCAGUCUAGAAGCUGAGAUUCUUGAGUAUGACUGUUCCCCGGGGCAAGGGUAUCUCAACUUUGGCACUACUGACAUCUCCAUGUUUCCCAGGAGAGAAUCCACUUUUUGUUUUAUCUGGGUCAACUCCUU